This 1140-nucleotide long non-coding RNA is filed under the name Papio anubis (olive baboon). Its description in RNAcentral is "lncRNA (ENSPANG00000045455.1)". Lineage: Eukaryota; Metazoa; Chordata; Mammalia; Primates; Cercopithecidae. The record is from RNAcentral.
UGAGACUUUCCCAUUUUUGAUUUAUUUGUCUAAAGUGUGUUUGUAUUGCUGACUGCUUUAAAGCCUUUGACAGAGAAUUCUAAUAUCUCUAUCAUCUUAGUGAUGAAAUCUAUGAUUUUUUCAUUUAUUUUGAAAUUGUAUUCAGUUCUUCCUGAUUCUUGACAUGUUGAGUCAUUCUCUAUUGAAAUCUGGGCAUUUCUGCUACUGUAUUAUGAGACUAUGGGCCUCAUUUAAGCUGUCCAUUUUAGCUGGCUUCCUCUGACACUACUUCAACAAAGGAGGGAGAAGCUGUGCUGUUUUGUUACUGGCUGGUAGGGGUAGAACUCUGGUUUCCCCACUAAAUCUCUGUUAACACAUGAGAUGAGGGCUCAUGAUUACUGCUUGGGGAUGGUGGGAGUCGUGGUUCUCUCUAGGCCUCUAUUAACAACUCCCUGACUAAGAGGGGUAGGAAUACCUCUUUCUCAUUUCACAUGUGGACUCUCUGACACCACAGAGGUGGAAGGGUGGUCUUAUUAUUCCUGGGCAGAGGUGAAAGUCCUGACCCUCCACUAGGCUCCACUGAUGCCCAGUAGGGAGGGAAGGGGAUACCUCUUUACUAACAGGUGGGAGGUGAAAACUCAGGCUCACCAGCCUGACAUUAUGAGGAAGGAUAUGAGCUCAUUACCACCCAGUGAGGAUGGACAUCCCAGCUACCUUCUUGGCCUUCCUGGACACCAACCCAGCAGGAGAGGAGUGGAAAUAUUUGAUGGAUAUUCUACAUCAAAGUCCAGGACAUAAAAGACGGAUGCAGAGCUUUCCCUCCAGUGGAAUCUGGAAAAAUUAACCUGGAGUCCCAUUUUCUUGUAUACUUCUUAAUUACUGUGACCCCUAAAAGGCUUUCAAAGCACUGCCAGCCUCCUCAAUGCAGUUUACAUUAGGACCUCUCUGAACACCUUCAGUGUGACAGAGGCAGGCAGGAGAGAAAGGCAUUGUUAUCGUGGUGGAUUCCCCUCUCUCUAUUAGAUCAUAAGUUUCUUAAGGACCAGGGUUUAAUUGUAUCUGAAUCCACAGUACUCAAUCCUAUGCCCAACAGGGAAGGAAUCAUUAUGUGUGUUGAGUGGAUAUACAAACUUGAAGGUGCUCCCAGGCUCUAAGAGUUCC